AUUGAACGCUGGCGGCAUGCCUUACACAUGCAAGUCGAACGGCAUCACGGGUGCUUGCACCUGGUGUCGAGUGGCGCACGAGUGAGUAAUACAUCGGAACAUGUCCUGUAGUGGGGGAUAGCCCGGCGAAACCCGGAUUAAUACCGCAUACGAUCUACGGCAUAAAGCGGGGGACCUUCGGGCCUCGCGUUCUAGGGUUGGCUGGUGGCUGACUAGCUUGUUGGUGGGGCAAAGGCCUACCAAGGCGACGAUCAGUAGCUGGUCUGAGAGGACGACCAGCCACACGGGGACUGAGAAUCGGCCCAGACUCCUACGGGAGGCAGCAGUGGGGAAUUUUGGACCAUGGGCGAAAGCCUGAUCCAGGAAUGCCGCGUGUGUGAAGAAGGCCUUCGGGUUGUAAAGCACUCUUGUCCGGAAAGAAAUCCUUGGCCCUAAUACGGUCGGGGGAUGACGGUACCGGAAGAAUAAGCACCGGCUAACUACGUG
This 486-nucleotide ribosomal RNA is filed under the name uncultured bacterium. RNAcentral's name for it is "partial 16S ribosomal RNA". It matches the Rfam family "Bacterial small subunit ribosomal RNA", at positions 30 to 507 of the family's 1533-position model. The record is from RNAcentral.